Molecule: small nuclear RNA, 294 nt
Filed under: Microtus ochrogaster (prairie vole)
Lineage: Eukaryota; Metazoa; Chordata; Mammalia; Rodentia; Cricetidae
Description: 7SK RNA (ENSMOCG00000010997.1)
Rfam family: 7SK RNA
About the family: 7SK was discovered as an abundant small nuclear RNA in the mid-70s but a possible function has only recently been suggested. Two independent studies have found that 7SK RNA binds the CDK9/cyclin T complex (known as elongation factor P-TEFb). P-TEFb activates transcription by phosphorylating the C-terminal domain of RNA polymerase II.
Source: RNAcentral
GGAUGUGAGGGCGAUCUGGCCACAGCAUCUGUCACUGCAUUAAUUGCCAGCGUCGAUUCAGCUGAACCAGCUGGGCGGGUGAGCGUUGCCUUGCUCCUUCACUGCACCCCGUCUAUCUAUCCCUCCUCAAGCUGUGCACUUAGUGGAAGAGAAUGACCUUGCACAACAGAGGAAGUAUGGUCUUCAGUCAAAGAUGUCUCCCCUGAUGGAACCUUCAAACACAUCAUCAAAGCAAUAGGGCGUCAGGUGGAGAGCCACUACACCUCUGCUGCGUAUCUACAUGAUACCACUGGC